This 752-nucleotide ribosomal RNA is filed under the name Campylobacter coli. RNAcentral's name for it is "partial 23S ribosomal RNA". It matches the Rfam family "Bacterial large subunit ribosomal RNA", at positions 467 to 1217 of the family's 2925-position model. The record is from RNAcentral. Lineage: Bacteria; Pseudomonadati; Campylobacterota; Epsilonproteobacteria; Campylobacterales; Campylobacteraceae.
UAAAUACUAAUACCAGAUCGAUAGUGCACAAGUACCGUGAGGGAAAGGUGAAAAGAACUGAGGUGAUCAGAGUGAAAUAGAACCUGAAACCAUUUGCUUACAAUCAUUCAGAGCCCUAUGUAGCAAUACAGGGUGAUGGACUGCCUUUUGCAUAAUGAGCCUGCGAGUUGUGGUGUCUGGCAAGGUUAAGCAAACGCGAAGCCGUAGCGAAAGCGAGUCUGAAUAGGGCGCUUAGUCAGAUGCUGCAGACCCGAAACGAAGUGAUCUAUCCAUGAGCAAGUUGAAGCUAGUGUAAGAACUAGUGGAGGACUGAACCCAUAGGCGUUGAAAAGCCCCGGGAUGACUUGUGGAUAGGGGUGAAAGGCCAAUCAAACUUCGUGAUAGCUGGUUCUCUCCGAAAUAUAUUUAGGUAUAGCGUUGUGUCGUAAUAUAAGGGGGUAGAGCACUGAAUGGGCUAGGGCAUACACCAAUGUACCAAACCCUAUCAAACUCCGAAUACCUUAUAUGUAAUCACAGCAGUCAGGCGGCGAGUGAUAAAAUCCGUCGUCAAGAGGGAAACAACCCAGACUACCAGCUAAGGUCCCUAAAUCUUACUUAAGUGGAAAACGAUGUGAAGUUACUUAAACAACCAGGAGGUUGGCUUAGAAGCAGCCAUCCUUUAAAGAAAGCGUAAUAGCUCACUGGUCUAGUGAUUUUGCGCGGAAAAUAUAACGGGGCUAAAGUAAGUACCGAAGCUGUAGACUUGCACACAA